GAGGUUGUUUCUCGCUCCAACAAAUACGUUCCGCAAAGGGGGCUGGAAGCAGAGCUUUGGGAGAGACGGCCGACGAAGAGGCCAGAUGGCUGUUCGUGCGGCGGAGAGUCAGCUUCCUCAUAAGAUCCAACUUUACCGUAUACGCAUGUCCACCGCCUCUUUGGAGACGUGUGAGUACUCCAAGAAUGGCGUCCACCUCGCGGGGCUGGUCGGACAAAGAGAGGUACUGUUCAUGAAAAUGUGCCGACGAAGCCAAAAGUAGAAGUACCGACGGUCGGUCGAGGGAGAUAUACCGAAGUUUGGUCCGUACCCCUAACUAGGUAAAAUGACCCAGCCGUACCGAAAACGUAGUUUGACCCCUUGAGAGUGGUGAAAACCCUAGGAGGGACAAAAACAUGGACUCAAAAAUCACGGUCAGACAUAGAGCUCCUAAGAUUUUCACUCGUCGUCCUGAGGACUCCCAGCUUACGAAGACCUACCUCGAGUGUUCCACCAACCCUAUACGUGAUUGUAACACUACCAAUAAUAGAAAUACGAUCACAUACGGUAAGAACAGUUUCAACUGUGCACGUGACGACAACAUUACUACGAGGUUGAAAAGAAGAGACCACAACAACAGGAGAUAGAGCUACUCCACGACUUCUUUCCUAUACCUAACAACGGUUCAUAGAGCAAUAAGUGACGGUGGUUAUAAACACAUUCACAAGAAACCUUCCGGAAAUCGGGGAGAAUACAAUGAAUAAUAGUACUCGUUCCACGAGUUAAACUCCCUCGACAAUAACGGACCCAGGUAGAAAACCAAUGACCUUGCCUGUUCAAGAGACGUUGGACAGUUCGGAAAACGGCGGUUUUGGAGGGCUUACAGUGGUUGGACGACCAAUGAACGAACAAAACAGAUUAACGGAAUAAGAAAGUCUCGAAAAUACAACGCGACGGUCACUUCAAUGAACUAACGCGAGUCAAGUGGAUGGCGGAGUUCAAGAGGAUAUAGAGGAUGCGGCGAUAAUAGAACGUUGUCCAACACCAAUGCAUAGAUAAUCAGUAGAGUCUCCAUNNNNNNNNNUAUAAAACACGUAACCACCUGGACGUACCGUCCAGCUUACCCAGAUCAUUCUGAUAACCCUAAACAGCGGCUCCGCUACCCUAAAAGAUGAUGGAUUGUCGUGGAGGUUGAAACUAACUAGACGUCUCUCUGGGCCAGGUACAUAAAGAGAUGUAGCAGUAACACGAAUCACGUACACGAAUAAAGAGUCAUUAAACCUGGUCUACGACAUACUGUAGGUCUUCUAAAAAUGUACUGUACGAUCCCCUUCUACACGUCGAAGGACCGGGACUGUGCUACAGACUGCUGCUUAAGGUCUCAACGUAUCGGUUCCCCCGAACAGAACCACCGUAAACACACCCGAACAACUAUCAAAACAGGCUAAAACGACCAGAUACACCAAGACCAUACCCCUAAGACGAACGACAACGUCGCCACAUAGGGAUGAAACUCCCCCACUCUCGACUUCUGUAUCCACAGAAACCGGAGACUGGCCAACGUAAGGAGAGUCGCAUCUAAACCCACUUAACUUACGAUAAGAGUGAACAUAAGUCUUAAAUUCGUUGUAGCAAGCCCUUAGAUACGUUCGCUCAACUCUUUUAGAUCAGACAUGCCAGGAAAACGACGCUUGCGACACAUUACUGAUAAAUAAACCCAAAUAAUUUAUGAAACUACCUACUCCUCC
This 1727-nucleotide ribosomal RNA is filed under the name Triticum aestivum (bread wheat). RNAcentral describes it as "partial small subunit ribosomal RNA". The record is from RNAcentral. Lineage: Eukaryota; Viridiplantae; Streptophyta; Magnoliopsida; Poales; Poaceae.